This 253-nucleotide ribosomal RNA is filed under the name uncultured bacterium. RNAcentral describes it as "partial 16S ribosomal RNA". It matches the Rfam family "Bacterial small subunit ribosomal RNA", at positions 524 to 776 of the family's 1533-position model. The record is from RNAcentral.
UACAGAGGUCUCAAGCGUUGUUCGGAAUCACUGGGCGUAAAGGGUGCGUAGGCCGCACGGUAAGUCAGAGGUGAAAUCCCGGAGCUCAACUUCGGAAUUACCUCCGAUACUGCCGUGCUUGAGGACUGGAGAGGAGUCUGGAAUUCACAGUGGAGCAGUGAAAUGCGUAGAUAUUGUGAGGAACACUAGUGGCGAAGGCGAGACUCUGGACAGUUCCUGACGCUGAGGCACGAAGGCCAGGGGAGCAAACGGG